UGGGGAAUAUUGCACAAUGGGCGCAAGCCUGAUGCAGCCAUGCCGCGUGUGUGAAGAAGGCCUUCGGGUUGUAAAGCACUUUCAGCGGGGAGGAAGGCGAUAAGGUUAAUAACCUUGUCGAUUGACGUUACCCGCAGAAGAAGCACCGGCUAACUCCGUGCCAGCAGCCGCGGUAAUACGGAGGGUGCAAGCGUUAAUCAGAAUUACUGGGCGUAAAGCGCACGCAGGCGGUCUGUCAAGUCGGAUGUGAAAUCCCCGGGCUUAACCUGGGAACUGCAUUCGAAACUGGCAGGCUAGAGUCUUGUAGAGGGGGGUAGAAUUCCAGGUGUAGCGGUGAAAUGCGUAGAGAUCAGGAGGAAUACCGGUGGCAAAGGCGGCCCCCUGGACAAAGACUGACGCUCAAGUGCGAAAGCGUGGGGAGCAAACAGG
Molecule: ribosomal RNA, 429 nt
Filed under: Chloroflexota bacterium
Lineage: Bacteria; Bacillati; Chloroflexota
Description: Chloroflexi bacterium partial 16S ribosomal RNA
Rfam family: Bacterial small subunit ribosomal RNA
Source: RNAcentral